GCAGUCGCGCAAUUACCCAAUCCCGACACGGGGAGGUAGUGACAAUAAAUACUGAUACAGGGCUCUUUUGGGUCUUGUAAUUGGAAUGAGUACAAUUUAAAUCCCUUAACGAGGAACAAUUGGAGGGCAAGUCUGGUGCCAGCAGCCGCGGUAAUUCCAGCUCCAAUAGCGUAUAUUAAAGUUGUUGUGGUUAAAAAGCUCGUAGUUGAACCUUGGGCCUGGCUGGCCGGUCCGCCUCACCGCGUGUACUGGUCCGGCCGGGCCUUUCCCUCUGUGGAGCCCCAUGCCCUUCACUGGGUGUGGCGGGGAAACAGGACUUUUACUUUGAAAAAAUUAGAGUGCUCCAGGCAGGCCUAUGCUCGAAUACAUUAGCAUGGAAUAAUAGAAUAGGACGUGUGGUUCUAUUUUGUUGGUUUCUAGGACCGCCGUAAUGAUUAAUAGGGACAGUCGGGGGCAUCAGUAUUCAAUUGUCAGAGGUGAAAUUCUUGGAUUUAUUGAAGACUAACUACUGCGAAAGCAUUUGCCAAGGAUGUUUUCAUUAAUCAGGAACGAAAGUUGGGGGAUCGAAGACGAUCAGAUACCGUCGUAGUCUUAACCAUAAACUAUGCCGACUAGGGAUCGGACGAUGUUAUUUUUUUGACUCGUUCGGCACCUUACGAGAAAUCAAAGUGCUUGGGCUCCAGGGGG
This 687-nucleotide ribosomal RNA is filed under the name uncultured eukaryote. Its description in RNAcentral is "SSU rRNA". It matches the Rfam family "Eukaryotic small subunit ribosomal RNA", at positions 428 to 1121 of the family's 1831-position model. The record is from RNAcentral.